CGCGGUUUGGAAGCUCCAUCUCCGAGCCGGGGAUCUGCCCCAAAAUCUUCUCAGCUAUGUCGCCCGGACCAGCUCGGUGGCGUGGGCGCUGCUCCCCAGGCUGAGAGCCUCCGGCCGGCCGUAAAGCCCAGCUUGUCCUGGUGAAGUCUGCAAAAGGGAGCGUCAGUGCUGAGGGAGCUUCCGUCACCUCCCUCAGUGUUUCUGCCCCAGGUAGGUAGCCGAGCAGAAGCGCACCGACGUGGCCUUCAAUCUACGAGGACUGCAGGCUGGUGGAGAAGAGGAUCGAGGACUUCACUGUCUCUCUCUUCAUCAUGCUCAAGUCCAAGUGGCUGGAUAGGGCCCCCAACAAGUCUGGGGAUAAGAUCCCCCUCCUCUGCACCUUGUUUGAGAAGGAGGACUUCAUGGGAUUGGACACAGACAGCAGGAGGACUUGACCUGGGAUGACAGCCUCUCAGAUCUCUCUGAGGGACUGCUCAGAAGAGGUUCGGGAGGAAAUAGGAUAUAGAGGAGCUUUACAACAAAGACCGGGAAGUUGGAACAAUAAAAGAUUGCUUGUUAUCUAAAGAAAGCCAGACUGACUAUGGAUAAUCUGCAACCUUGGAAAGCAACCGAGAUGGAAUUACUGCAGUACGUUUUGGUUACUGAGACCCUCGAAUUCCCAUAUGAAUUGUAGUAGCAGCUAGUCAGUUUUUGCAGAGGAGCCUGCUGGGAUUGUAAUCGAAACCACGUUGUAUGUAUGGAUCGCUCUGGGGAAAACUGCCACUCCAAGAACACUGUCUUCUGAUCCAGGAAUGUGCGUGUUGUGUCUGUCCAGGUGAUACUGCUCUGGUUGCUGCCUGUGCCCUACCCCCAGCCUUGGUUUUGGAGUUGAGUGCCCUCACCUCCAGUGGCAUCCAUCCAGACACCAGCACUGACACUGGCCGUGCUCAGAUCUGCCUCAGCCCUGAAGACACAACUGACAAAUAGAAGGGGGCCAUGCCCUGUUACAGCAGGUGCUCUCACUUUGUGGGUCCUUAUGUAACUGCGCAUUGUUAUUCAGGAUCGCCCAUUCUACAUUGUUUGAAGCUGCUGCGGUGUCUCCUAGUUAUUUGUUUCUGAUCUGAGAAGCAGGAGCAAGGAAUUCAGGGAGAGAUCCAGGAAGACAUCUGACUCUGUUAAGAGACGACAUUCACAGCGACAAGGGGAGCGAAGACACUUGCAGCAAAGCAAAAUGAAUUCACAACGAUUGCAUCAGAGCUGCAGGUGUGAGAGAGCCUAAGCCUGUCUCAGAGUGCAGGGGACAAGUGGAAAGGAAUGUGUAAGAAUGCCGGAGA
Long non-coding RNA from Camelus dromedarius (Arabian camel), 1313 nucleotides. RefSeq lists it as uncharacterized. The transcript has 10 exons. The record is from RefSeq and is a predicted model, not a curated record. NCBI's taxonomy places the organism in Eukaryota, Metazoa, Chordata, Mammalia, Artiodactyla, Camelidae.